This 533-nucleotide ribosomal RNA is filed under the name Zelus sp. 00004173. Its description in RNAcentral is "partial 16S ribosomal RNA". It matches the Rfam family "Bacterial large subunit ribosomal RNA", at positions 1808 to 2611 of the family's 2925-position model. Lineage: Eukaryota; Metazoa; Arthropoda; Insecta; Hemiptera; Reduviidae. The record is from RNAcentral.
CAAAAACAUGUCCUUUUGUUUUAAAUAUAAGGUCUAACCUGCCCAAUGAUCUAUAUUUAAUGGCCGCGGUAUAUUAACUGUGCUAAGGUAGCAUAAUCAUUUGUCUUUUAAUUAAAGGCUGGAAUGAACGGUUGGACGAGGUAUUUUCUUUCUUUAAUUUAGUUAAUGAACUUAAUUUUUUAGUUAAAAAGCUAAAAUAUUUUUGGGGGACGAGAAGACCCUAUAGAUCUUUAUAUCUUUCUUUAUUAUAUAUUUUAUUAAUAUUAAUUGUUUUAAUAAUUUUAGAUAUUUGGUUGGGGUGACUAUAGAAUUUAAAUUAACUUCUAUUUUAUUCAUUCAUUAAUUAGUGUUUUUUUGAUCCAAUAUUAUUGAUUAUAAGAUUAAGUUACCUUAGGGAUAACAGCGUAAUUCUUUUGGAGAGCUCAUAUCGAUGAAGGAGUUUGCGACCUCGAUGUUGGAUUAAAAUAAGUUUUAGGUGUAGAAGCUUGAGAACUAGGUCUGUUCGACCUUUAAUUUUUUACAUGAUCUGAGUU